Molecule: ribosomal RNA, 252 nt
Filed under: uncultured bacterium
Lineage: Bacteria
Description: partial 16S ribosomal RNA
Rfam family: Bacterial small subunit ribosomal RNA
Source: RNAcentral
UACGUAGAUGGCAAGCGUUAUCCGGAUUCAUUGGGCGUAAAGGGUGCUCAGCUGGUUUAUUAAGUCUGUAGUUAAAUUUCGAGGCUCAACUUCGAACUGCUGCGGAAGCUGGUAAACUUGAGUACAGGAGAGGGUAGUGGAAUUCCAUGUGAAGCGGUAAAAUGCGUAGAUAUAUGGAGGAACACCAGUGGCGAAGGCGGCUACCUGGCCUGUAACUGACGGUCAAGCACGAAAGCGUGGGGAGCAAAUAGG